AACUGAUCAAUAAGACUGGGAUGUUAUGGAAGCGAAUAAAAGGAGAACGAAACGGCAAAAGAAGAACCAAGAACAAAGCGAUACUUCAGGGCGUCACAUAAAACUGUCUGACAUUGGCACACAAAUGAAAGAAACCCAUAAGCAACCUAGAAACCGGAUCCUGAAACUUCAGGCCACAGUGGAAGUACAAACAGUGAACUGGUACAAGCAGCAGAUAGAGAAGCAGAGGGAAAAAGACCAAGGCAUGGAAUUCCGCAACCUGACCGAUCAACUUUCGAACAUGCAGUACUACGCCACCCAGAGUUCCUGAGCCGACUGAUUGCAUAACUGAGAACGUUAUCACCGUUCUGCCCUACAAAGUGUGGAGAGAAUUGAUCAUUAAAUUAGAUCCCUUGCGCCAAUUAGGAGGAGAUUACAAAGAUCUCGCCAGUGAAAUUGGAUAUGACAUGGAGAAAAUCUUGUAUUUCCAGUUGGGAAAGAUCUAACAGAAGCUCAACUCAAUGACUGCGCAAACUCAGUCUCAAUUGACAAACUUUGUGACAAGCUGAAGGCGAUUGGAAGAUCUGAUGCAAGGAAAGUGCUUGAUGAAUGGAUCAAGUGACGAAACUGCAAAUGUGUAACCUGCAACAGCCAGAGCUACUAUACGCACGCCAACAAGUUUUUCUUUUAGGAGGGAGGGGGUUGGGGCUGGGAAUGUUUAAAAAGAAAAAAAAUUCCAGCGAGCAACUCGGAGUAGAGCUUUUAAUUAAAUAAACAAAAGGUUGUUUGGGCUGAAGAUUUCAAUUACUCGUCACCAAUUUUUGUGAAAAUUAUUUCAGAAAAUUUAGCUUUUCACUUAUAUCUUUAAGUAAGCGGUUUCGUUAUUUCAUUUUAAUGAUUCAUGGUGACCAUGACCCGAGUGCACCUCUUUAGUAUACUUAACAUUGUAACAGAUAGGUUUACAAAGAUAGGUUUACUGCUUGAAACUUGUUUGCAUUGUUACCACUCAGUAGAGACCCGAGUUAAAAACCGGAUUCUUACAGGUUUUGGGAUCUUGUACAGUUCGACAAUCUGAUGAGGCACCAAAGAAGUGAAUAAGUUCAACGCAAAGAAACUGAUGGAUCAA
This is a long non-coding RNA of Pocillopora damicornis (cauliflower coral), 1105 nucleotides long. RefSeq lists it as uncharacterized. Lineage: Eukaryota; Metazoa; Cnidaria; Anthozoa; Scleractinia; Pocilloporidae. The record is from RefSeq and is a predicted model, not a curated record.